CGGAGGAUGCAAGCGUUAUCCGGAAUCAGUUGGGUUUAAAGGGUCCGUAGGCGGUUUAAUAAGUCAGUGGUGAAAGCCCAUCGCUCAACGAUGGAACGGCCAUUGAUACUGUUAAACUUGAAUUAUUAGGAAGUAACUAGAAUAUGUAGUGUAGCGGUGAAAUGCUUAGAGAUUACAUGGAAUACCAAUUGCGAAGGCAGGUUACUACUAAUAUAUUGACGCUGAUGGACGAAAGCGUGGGGAGCGAACAGGAUUAGAUACCCUGGUAGUCCACGCCGUAAACGAUGGAUACUAGCUGUUCGGAGCAAUCUGAGUGGCUAAGCGAAAGUGAUAAGUAUCCCACCUGGGGAGUACGUUCGCAAGAAUG
Molecule: ribosomal RNA, 367 nt
Filed under: uncultured organism
Description: bacterial SSU rRNA
Rfam family: Bacterial small subunit ribosomal RNA
Source: RNAcentral